AACGAACGCUGGCGGCAUGCCUAACACAUGCAAGUCGAACGAGACCUUCGGGUCUAGUGGCGCACGGGUUCGUAACCCGUGGGAACCUUCCCUUAUGUUCGGAAUAACUCCCCGAAAGGGGUGCUAAUACCGGAUAAUGUCUUCGGACCAAAGAUUUAUCGCGUUUGGAUGGGCCCGCGUUGGAUUAGCUGGUUGGUAGGGUAAAAGCCUACCAAGGCGACGAUCCAUAGCUGGUCUGAGAGGAUGAUCAGCCACACUGGGACUGAGACACGGCCCAGACUCCUACGGGAGGGAGCAGUGGGGAAUAUUGGAAAAUGGGCGAAGGCCUGAACCAGCAAGGCCGGGUGAGUGAUGAAGGCCGUAGGGUUGUAAAGCUCUUUUACCCGGGAUGAUAAUGACAGUACCGGGAGAAUAAGCUCCGGCUAACUCCGUG
RNAcentral lists this ribosomal RNA (433 nucleotides) under uncultured bacterium. RNAcentral describes it as "partial 16S ribosomal RNA". It matches the Rfam family "Bacterial small subunit ribosomal RNA", at positions 29 to 507 of the family's 1533-position model. The record is from RNAcentral.